GCAAACUUGGUCAUUUAGAGGAAGUAAAAGUCGUAACAAGGUCUUCGUAGGUGAACCUGCGAAGGGAUCAUUACCGAGUGAGGGCCCCUGGCCCGACCUCCCACCCUUUGUUAAACUACCGCGUUGCCUCGGGGGUGACCCGGCCGUGGCCGCCGGGACCCCCGAUGGACCACAUUAAAACUCUUUGCGUACAUGCGUCAGAGUAUGAAGUAAAUCAAUCAAAACUUUCAACAACGGAUCUCUUGGUUCUGGCAUCGAUGAAGAACGCAGC
RNAcentral lists this unclassified non-coding RNA (271 nucleotides) under uncultured fungus. RNAcentral describes it as "partial contains small subunit ribosomal RNA, internal transcribed spacer 1, and 5.8S ribosomal RNA". The stretch from base 1 to 73 matches the Rfam family "Eukaryotic small subunit ribosomal RNA", at positions 1759 to 1831 of the family's 1831-position model. The record is from RNAcentral. Lineage: Eukaryota; Fungi.